This 560-nucleotide ribosomal RNA is filed under the name uncultured bacterium. RNAcentral describes it as "bacterial SSU rRNA". It matches the Rfam family "Bacterial small subunit ribosomal RNA", at positions 338 to 915 of the family's 1533-position model. The record is from RNAcentral.
CCUACGGGAGGCAGCAGUGGGGAAUAUUGGACAAUGGGCGAAAGCCUGAUCCAGCAAUGCCGCGUGAGUGAUGAAGGCCUUAGGGUCGUAAAGCUCUUUUACCAGGGAUGAUAAUGACAGUACCUGGAGAAUAAGCUCCGGCUAACUCCGUGCCAGCAGCCGCGGUAAUACGGAGGGAGCUAGCGUUGUUCGGAAUUACUGGGCGUAAAGCGUGCGUAGGCGGUUAUUCAAGUCAGAGGUGAAAGCCCGGGGCUCAACCCCGGAACGGCCUUUGAAACUAGAUAACUAGAAUCUUGGAGAGGUCAGUGGAAUUCCGAGUGUAGAGGUGAAAUUCGUAGAUAUUCGGAAGAACACCAGUGGCGAAGGCGACUGACUGGACAAGUAUUGACGCUGAGGUACGAAAGCGUGGGGAGCAAACAGGAUUAGAUACCCUGGUAGUCCACGCCGUAAACGAUGAUAACUAGCUGUCCGGACACUUGGUGUUUGGGUGGCGCAGCUAACGCAUUAAGUUAUCCGCCUGGGGAGUACGGUCGCAAGAUUAAAACUCAAAGGAAUAGAGG